Molecule: ribosomal RNA, 496 nt
Filed under: uncultured bacterium
Lineage: Bacteria
Description: partial 16S ribosomal RNA
Rfam family: Bacterial small subunit ribosomal RNA
Source: RNAcentral
AUGAACGCUGGCGGCGUGCCUCAUACCUGCCAGUCGAGCGAACGGACGAGAAGCUUGCUUUUCUGAUGUUAGCGGCGGACGGGUGAGUAACACGUGGAUAACCUACCUAUAAGACUGGGAUAACUUCGGGAAACCGGAGCUAAUACCGGAUAAUAUUUUGAACCGCAUGGUUCAUAAGUGAAAGACGGUCUUGCUGUCACUUAUAGAUGGAUCCGCGCUGCAUUAGCUAGUUGGUAAGGUAACGGCUUACCAAGGCAACGAUGCAUAGCCGACCUGAGAGGGUGAUCGGCCACACUGGAACUGAGACACGGUCCAGACUCCUACGGGAGGCAGCAGUAGGGAAUCUUCCGCAAUGGGCGAAAGCCUGACGGAGCAACGCCGCGUGAGUGAUGAAGGUCUUCGGAUCGUAAAACUCUGUUAUUAGGGAAGAACAUAUGUGUAAGUAACUGUGCACAUCUUGACGGUACCUAAUCAGAAAGCCACGGCUAACUACGUG